Molecule: ribosomal RNA, 802 nt
Filed under: Staphylococcus pasteuri
Lineage: Bacteria; Bacillati; Bacillota; Bacilli; Caryophanales; Staphylococcaceae
Description: bacterial SSU rRNA
Rfam family: Bacterial small subunit ribosomal RNA
Source: RNAcentral
GCUAUCAUGCAGUCGAGCGACAGAUAAGGAGCUUGCUCCUUUGACGUUAGCGGCGGACCGGAGAGUAACACGUGGAUAACCUACCUAUAAGACUGGGAUAACUUCGGGAAACCGGAGCUAAUACCGGAUAAGAUUUUGAACCGCAUGGUUCAAUAGUGAAAGACGGCCUUGCUGUCACUUAUAGAUGGAUCCGCGCCGUAUUAGCUAGUUGGUAAGGUAACGGCUUACCAAGGCAACGAUACGUAGCCGACCUGAGAGGGUGAUCGGCCACACUGGAACUGAGACACGGUCCAGACUCCUACGGGAGGCAGCAGUAGGGAAUCUUCCGCAAUGGGCGAAAGCCUGACGGAGCAACGCCGCGUGAGUGAUGAAGGUCUUCGGAUCGUAAAACUCUGUUAUCAGGGAAGAACAAACGUGUAAGUAACUGUGCACGUCUUGACGGUACCUGAUCAGAAAGCCACGGCUAACUACGUGCCAGCAGCCGCGGUAAUACGUAGGUGGCAAGCGUUAUCCGGAAUUAUUGGGCGUAAAGCGCGCGUAGGCGGUUUUUUUAAGUCUGAUGUGAAAGCCCACGGCUCAACCGUGGAGGGUCAUUGGAAACUGGAAAACUUGAGUGCAGAAGAGGAAAGUGGAAUUCCAUGUGUAGCGGUGAAAUGCGCAGAGAUAUGGAGGAACACCAGUGGCGAAGGCGACUUUUCUGGUCUGUAACUGACGCUGAUGUGCGAAAGCGUGGGGAUCAAACAGGAUUAGAUACCCUUGGUUAGUCCACGCCGUAAACGAUGAGUGCUAAGUGUUAGGGGGG